GCGGUGGUGACCGAGUGGUUAAGGUGACCGAUUUAAGCCAAUACAAACGCACUUGUAGUGAGCGCCCGGUUCUCGAAAGAGGUCGCGAGUUCGACUCUCGCCCGCCGCA
Non-coding RNA from Rhodotorula diobovata, 109 nucleotides. NCBI's taxonomy places the organism in Eukaryota, Fungi, Basidiomycota, Microbotryomycetes, Sporidiobolales, Sporidiobolaceae. The record is from the annotation of a GenBank genome assembly.